This 90-nucleotide transfer RNA is filed under the name Rhodobacter capsulatus SB 1003. RNAcentral's name for it is "tRNA-Ser". It matches the Rfam family "tRNA". From Rfam's summary of the family: Transfer RNA (tRNA) molecules are approximately 80 nucleotides in length. Lineage: Bacteria; Pseudomonadati; Pseudomonadota; Alphaproteobacteria; Rhodobacterales. The record is from RNAcentral.
CGGAGAGGUGGCAGAGUGGUCGAUUGCGGCGGUCUCGAAAACCGUUGACCCUGCAAGGGUCCGAGGGUUCGAAUCCCUCCCUCUCCGCCA